ACUCAAAGGAAUUGACGGGGGCCCGCACAAGCGGCGGAGCAUGUUGCUUAAUUCGAGGCAACGCGAAGAACCUUACCUGGGCUUGACAUGCAGGGAAAAGCCGUAGAGAUACGGUGUCCUUCGGGGCCCUGCACAGGUGGUGCAUGGCUGUCGUCAGCUCGUGUCGUGAGAUGUUGGGUUAAGUCCCGCAACGAGCGCAACCCUUGUCCUAUGUUGCCAGCGGUUCGGCCGGGGACUCGUAGGAGACUGCCGGGGUCAACUCGGAGGAAGGUGGGGAUGACGUCAAGUCAUCAUGCCCCUUAUGUCCAGGGCUGCAAACAUGCUACAAUGGCCAGUACAAAGGGCUGCCAUCCCGUGAGGGUGAGCGAAUCCCAAAAAGCUGGUCUCAGUUCGGAUUGAAGUCUGCAACUCGACUUCAUGAAGCCGGAGUCGCUAGUAAUCCCGGAUCAGCAACGCCGGGGUGAAUACGUUCCCGGGCCUUGCACACACCGCCCGU
This 496-nucleotide ribosomal RNA is filed under the name uncultured bacterium. Its description in RNAcentral is "partial 16S ribosomal RNA". It matches the Rfam family "Bacterial small subunit ribosomal RNA", at positions 899 to 1397 of the family's 1533-position model. The record is from RNAcentral.